UACGAAGGGUGCUAGCGUUGUUCGGAAUCACUGGGCGUAAAGCGCGCGUAGGUGGCUAUGCAAGUCAGGGGUGAAAUCCCACAGCUCAACUGUGGAACUGCCUCUGAAACUGCGUAGCUAGAGUGUCGGAGGGGAUAGCGGAAUUGCUAAUGUAGAGGUGAAAUUCGUAGAUAUUAGCAGGAACACCGGUGGCGAAGGCGGCUAUCUGGACGACAACUGACACUGAGGCGCGAAAGUGUGGGGAUCAAACAGG
This 253-nucleotide ribosomal RNA is filed under the name uncultured bacterium. Its description in RNAcentral is "partial 16S ribosomal RNA". It matches the Rfam family "Bacterial small subunit ribosomal RNA", at positions 524 to 776 of the family's 1533-position model. The record is from RNAcentral.